CAGCUCCUUCAGCCUCUCCUCAUAUGGCCUGUGUUCCAGACCCCUCACCAGCUUUGUUGCCCUUCUUUGAACACGUCCUGCCUUUUUACUGGGCUGCACCAGGGUAUCUUCACUUCUCUGCUGCUUUCCUUCAAUUCACCCCCAUUCAAUGAACCCCAUUCACCCCAUUGGUCAGUCCCACGUUUCCUACAAUUUGGAUCUGGGAGGUGACCGCUCCUUUGCCUAUGAUGAAAGCACAGCGGUGAUGCAGGCGCUUGCUGAGCUCACAGUGGUUGCCAGGCUGUUUGUGGCCCAGCUGGAGCAGAGCUGGUGCUCUGGUGAGCGUGGUGCACACGGAGACUGAGCUCUGUGCUUUUCUGGAGAGAAAUCCUCCUUUCGAGCCCACUGGGAGCAGCGCUGCGGCGUGUGCGUCAGCUGGGCACCGCUCCGGCUGGGCAGUGACCAGGGGAAAUGGUUCUUGUUCGGAUUCCACCCCACGUUUCAGUGAGGAUGAUGAGAGGUCCUUCCUCCCCUGGAAAAUUGCUGCCGCCCCCCCCUUCAUGUCAGACCUUCAAAAGGAAGCAGAGCGCAGACUUCAUCGGGUGCAACUUGUGCCUCCCUGCUCCGUGGGUUGCUUGGUGUGCCAUACCCAGCAGGUUCCACUCCAAAAGGAGAACUCAGGAAUCCAGGCAGCUGAAGAUCGCGGCGCUGCAGGCGAUGUCAAGGACAAAACCUGUGCGUCUGUGGAACGGUGCGGGGCAGGGGGGGAAACGGAAAGCCUCCGCAG
Lagopus leucura (white-tailed ptarmigan) is the source of this 766-nucleotide long non-coding RNA. RefSeq lists it as uncharacterized. Lineage: Eukaryota; Metazoa; Chordata; Aves; Galliformes; Phasianidae. The transcript has 4 exons. The record is from RefSeq and is a predicted model, not a curated record.